GGAGUCUAGCAUGCACGCGAGUCAUUGGGACUAGCGAAACCUAAAGGCGAAAUGAAAGUGAAGGUCGAUCUCGCGUCGACCGAGGGAGGAUGGGCCGCGUGCAAGCGCGGCCCCGCACUCCCGGGGCGUCUCAUUCUCAUCGCGAGAAGAGGCGCACCCAGAGCGUACACGCUGGGACCCGAAAGAUGGUGAACUAUGCCUGGUCAGGACGAAGUCAGGGGAAACCCUGAUGGAGGUCCGAAGCGAUUCUGACGUGCAAAUCGAUCGUCGGAACUGGGUAUAGGGGCGAAAGACUAAUCGAACCAUCUAGUAGCUGGUUCCCUCCGAAGUUUCCCUCAGGAUAGCUGGCGCUCGCUUUUGCGAGUCUCAUCUGGUAAAGCGAAUGAUUAGAGGCAUUGGGGUCGAAACGGCCUCAACCUAUUCUCAAACUUUAAAUGGGUGAGAUCUCCGGCUUGCUUGAACGGUGAAGCCGCGAGAUCGGAUCAGAGUGCCAAGUGGGCCAUUUUUGGUAAGCAGAACUGGCGCUGUGGGAUGAACCAAACGCAGAGUUAAAGCUCCUAAAUCGACGCUCAUGGGAUACCAUGAAAGGCGUUGGUAACUUAAGACAGCAGGACGGUGGCCAUGGAA
RNAcentral lists this ribosomal RNA (627 nucleotides) under Lopheros sp. UPOL 000577. Its description in RNAcentral is "eukaryotic LSU rRNA". It matches the Rfam family "Eukaryotic large subunit ribosomal RNA", at positions 670 to 1259 of the family's 3401-position model. The record is from RNAcentral. Lineage: Eukaryota; Metazoa; Arthropoda; Insecta; Coleoptera; Lycidae. RNAcentral also lists the same sequence under 1 other name.